CUUAGAAAGAGCUUUAGCUCAAUUAUACAACCUCUGGUACUGGGAACGUGGGCAUUUUUUUUUUCUCAAGGCUAUCCCUGAGCUGUGAAAUGGGAUGGAACUAGGGUGAGUUAAGGUAGCACAAAACUUGUUUUUACUGUGAUUUGGUAAUUUUUAUUGAAUACACACUCUCACACUGCUACAAGCCUUUGAUUUAUUUCCAGAGUUCUGAACAAUAUAUAUUUUUAUUUUUUAUUUUUUGCCAGCUUUUUCUUUGCUUUUGUGGAGGUUGUGGAGGGGCGAAAUUUCUAAGAUCCUCAUGCUGCCAUUUCUGCUGAUGCCAAUCAUUUCCGUUAAGGUUUGGAUAAGCCUCGAACCACAAGUGCACUGCAGUCUGAAUAGGCAUCAUAAUCCUCCAGGAAACUCUGAACGGCCUUGACACAGGGGACCCUGCUCAGCCAAACUCUGAUCCAAAGGAAGCCACCGCCGUCAUAUCCACAUCUAGCCAUACUUCGUUUGAAAGCUUCCCGGGCUCUGUGAGUGCUGGCUUUUGGGACCUAUUUUUGAGGGGAAAGAAUAUGGUCAUUGCUUCCUUCUGGAUACACUGAACCCUCGAUAAAGGACUUGGAGGUGGCUUGUGUGACUUUUACUGCUGAAGUAAAUAGGCUUUGUUUUAAGCCUGGUACCUAAUCAAUCCAGAACUUAGCUGUGUUUAUAUGCCACAGGGAAGUCAAAGCCAAUGCAUCUUGGAACUGACUGAAAGUAAAUGACCACUGUGUAGCUCCCUGUAUUAAUGCAUAAGGCCCUCUAGACUGAAAUAUACCAUGCAAAACAUGGCAUACAGAAAGACAUCUUGAAUAUUUCCUGUGACUAGUCAAGACCCUAUCAAGGAGGUGAUCAGUAUCAUCUGCACUCUAACUGAAUCUUGCAUUUAUACCCUAACUGAAACUUGCAUCCUUUUGUACACUGUUUCUCCUCUAUCUUUCUAGUUGGAACAUAUCCCUUAAUACACAGAUUUAGGGUUUAUCCUCAACAGUGUCAUUAGCUGACUGUCUAAUGGAAUCAACCUCUUUCUCUAUCUUUAUAUGAAAUUAUUUAUUUAUUUGGAUUUCCUCAUUAUCAGAAACAUACCCAUGCAAUUAUUUAAAGACUUGAUUUUGUCCUAAAUUAGGUAAAAUAGGAUAAUGAAAUGUGUAUCCAUAUGUAAUAAUCAAAUAGAGAACCCAAACCUAUUUGUAUCCAUAAUUUAAACAGAAUAAGUAAGGUAACUGCAUUAGUUUCCAAAUGCUGCUAUAACAAAUUUCUAAAAACUUAAUGGCUUAAAACAGCACAAAUUUAUUAUGUUACAGUUCUGAAAGUAAGGAGUCUAAAAUGAGUUUGCAAGGCUGCAUUCUUUCUGGAGGCUCUAAGGAAUAACCUGUGUUCCUGCCUUUUCCGGCUUUUAGAGGCUACUCACAUUUCUUAGCUUAUGGAUCUUUCCUCAUAUCACUCAGAUCUCUGCUUCUAUCAUCACCUCUCUUACUCAAACACCGACCCUCCUUCCUCUCUCUUAUAAGGAUGCUUGUGAUUAUGUUGGGCUUACCUAAACAAUACAGAUAAUCUCCACAUCUCAAAAUACUUAACAUUAUCACACCUAAAAAGUCCCUUCUACUGAGGUUAUAUAUUCACAGGUUUCUGGGACUGGGAUAUGAACACCUUCAGAGCUAUAUUCUGCCUACUACAAUAAGCAAUACCCAAGCUAGUAUUUUAUUUUGUGCCCGAGGAACUGUAUUUUCACAUCUCAUUUCAGCUAUGCUUGGUCAUUCUACAUCUUUAUCAUCCAAGGUGCAGAUGAAAUAAGAGUGUUUUGCUCUGUGGAAUAGUAGAAAGUGCAUUGGCUUUGGAGUCAGAAAGCCCUAUUUUCACACUCUGGCUUUUCCAUUGAGCCAACUGUAUGGCCAUGAACAAGACAUUUAACUUCUCUGAUCCCUGACCCUUUGAAUGUAGUGUGGUCCUCAAUAAAUGGUAGUUGCUUUAACAAAAUAAUAAUUAUUGUCAAAUUUCAAACCCCAGGCUCCCAGCUUUAUACCCAUUGUCUUUAUUCCUUCAAUGAGGGAGUCCCUUCUCUCGUCAUAUUUCCAGAAAUACUGUCAAUAUUCCUAUCAUGCUUUUCCCAAGUAAGGAAUGUGAACUCAAACCACUUUGUAAGUGUUGGAUCACACACUUCGGGCCAUGCCUUUCAUCCUGGCAGGAAGGCAGUGUGCAUGCUAUCCUGCCAGGCUCACUUGCUAUCCAGCCCAGUUCCUAAUACUCAUGAACCUUCCCAUGCUCUCCAACUCUUAGACGGAGAGAGCAUUUUUAUCUUUAACUCAUAUGAAUAAUGCUGGCAAAAUAAUUGCAGGUGAACAGUUAUUCCAAUUAACAGUGUUUUAAAGUCUAUAUUCUAAGAAGAGGAUUUACUAGAUUAUAAACUUAAUAUUGCUCAGAAAUAACAUUUCAUACACUUUAACGGUUUUUCUGCAAACUAUCCCCUAAAUUAUUACCCUCCCUACAAAAUAGAAUAUUAAUACAUGUUAGACCACUUUACUAGCAUUAAAGUGUUAUUAUUGUUAUUAAUUCAUUGUAAAAAAUGUUUUCAAUGUAGUAUUGUACCCUGUGGCUAUUUGUAUUUUCUAUCUGGCAAUUAUCUCCUUGUCUUUAUUUUUCUAGUGGAGUGUUUAUAAUUUUUCUUAUAGAUUAAUAGGAGCUAUUUACAUAGUAUUAGGCAUUGACUGCAUUGAAGGCCCAAUUCUUUGCCCUCCCUGUUUCCAGGGAACUGUCUUUCUGCCAUGUAACUUUGCAGUACCCUCCUACUCAGGAAAAUAUGUUAUUCUCACUCCUUAACAUGGUGAUCAAUUAUGUGACCUAUGUUGACAAAUGGCAUGCUAGCAAAUGUGAUACAGGCAGAUACUUGAAAACGCUUCUGCAUUUCUAUUGGUUUUCAUUUCUCUGCCAUUGCCGUGAGUAUUUAUCUUUGAUAGCCUCCUGGAUGAAAGACACGUGAAUACAACUGAAUCAUUCCCUAUCAUCCCAACCAAGUCUAUCCUGUAUUAAGUGACAGCCAGCCGGCUCUUAGUCUUGGGAGAGAGCCCAGACAAGAUCAGUAGAGCUGCCUCACUACCCCUCAGUUGACCACAGGCACAUAAAUGAGUCCAGAGGAGGUCAGCUAAAUCCCACGGACCUGUGAGCUAAAUAAAAUGUUAUUGCUUUUUGCCACUAAGAUUUUGUGGGUGGUUGUUAUGCAACAUUAUUGCAGCAAAAGCAACUGAUGUAUCUAUAAGGAUAUUCGGCACAUUCACACCCAGCCCUUUCCCAGUUUGUCACUAACCUCUUAAGUAUAUUUACAUAUUUUUAAAUAUAUAGGCUUAUACAUUUUCAUAUCAACUUGUGGUGAAAUAAGAAAUAUAUUUGGUGU
Molecule: long non-coding RNA, 3412 nt
Filed under: Homo sapiens (human)
Lineage: Eukaryota; Metazoa; Chordata; Mammalia; Primates; Hominidae
Description: HSALNT0148005
Source: RNAcentral